GAGAGCUGACAACCUUCUGUGGUAAGGGGUGAACAUCCUUGGGAAGCCACAGAGAGCAAGGCGCAGUUUUUCAUUGAUCACCACUUUCAAGAUGCUCCCAGAAUCGUGCUGUCUAGGAAGCCAUUUAAACUGGUGAGAAGCCAUCCUCUCUUGAAUGGGGGCUCCCACUGUACAUCUGGCACCCACUUCACAGAUUCUGGGGGAUGUCAACACCAGCACUGCUGAGCUGUGUGACCUUGAGCAAGACAGUUAGCCUCUCUGAACCUCAGUGUCCUUCUCUGUAGGCUGGAGAUUGAUAUACCUUCAUUAUCGGGGUAUGAGAGUGUUAUAAGGUGGGAUGGUGGAACACGCUGACUGGUCUGGGCUAUUCAAGAUCCAUGAACUGGAAGAUGCUUUCUUAUAACUCAGAGAAAAGAGAUGAAAAUGAAUCAAAGAACAGGAAGGAGACAAGCUCAGGAGUGUGAAAACGGAUUAAUACGGAUUCCAUUAGCAGAAGCAGUUUUGGUGGGAAAAAGAUGAAGGGUGAAGAGGACUUUUACCUUAAAACAAUGAAGGGUAAGACUCCUGGGAAUUUGGAAGCUGAGACUUGAGGAGCAGAGGCAUUUAGCUGUGUAAACACAGAGCUUCAGUGGCAGCACCCUAAAUGCUUAGCUGAUAGAUCCGGAAUUAAAUACAGACCUAGAAACUGGAGUUGGAAAACUUCCUGGCAGCACUCCUUCCCUGCCAUCCCGGUGAUCCCCUUCUGGAUGGAGGGUGUGGAGCUCAGCACAUUCACGUCUGCAGCCCUGAACUGCUUGUCUUUUGCCUUGUUAUCUUUCCUGGACUGUGAACUUCCCAAGUGAAGAGCAUUGUAUUUGCUACAGACAACCUUCUGUUAUUAAAAGCUUUAUCA
RNAcentral lists this long non-coding RNA (892 nucleotides) under Homo sapiens (human). Its description in RNAcentral is "long intergenic non-protein coding RNA 1837". Lineage: Eukaryota; Metazoa; Chordata; Mammalia; Primates; Hominidae. The record is from RNAcentral.